GACGAACGCUGGCGGCGUGCUUAACACAUGCAAGUCGAACGAAGUGGCGAACGGGUGAGUAACGCGUAAUCAACCUGCCCUUCAGAGGGGGACAACAGUUGGAAACGACUGCUAAUACCGCAUACGGCAGGAGGGGAAUGGGUUUGAUGAGCUAGUUGGAGGGGUAACGGCCACCUCAGGCGAUGAUCAGUAGCCGUUCUGAGAGGAUGAGCGGCCACAGUGGGACUGAGACACGGCCCAGACUCCUACGGGAGGCAGCAGUGGUGAAUCGUCCGUAAGUGACGAAAGUCUGACGGAGCAACGCCGCGUGAGGGAUGACGGCCAUCGGGUUGUAAAGCUCUGUUAAUCGGGACGCGGUACCGGAAUAGAAAGCCACGGCUAACUACGUGCCAGCCGCCGCGGUAAUAC
RNAcentral lists this ribosomal RNA (408 nucleotides) under uncultured bacterium. Its description in RNAcentral is "partial 16S ribosomal RNA". It matches the Rfam family "Bacterial small subunit ribosomal RNA", at positions 28 to 526 of the family's 1533-position model. The record is from RNAcentral.